This 598-nucleotide ribosomal RNA is filed under the name uncultured Basidiomycota. RNAcentral describes it as "eukaryotic LSU rRNA". The stretch from base 184 to 337 matches the Rfam family "5.8S ribosomal RNA". Lineage: Eukaryota; Fungi; Basidiomycota. The record is from RNAcentral.
CAUUAGUGAAUUUGUAGCCUUCAAGGCUCACAUUCUCUAUCCUUUACACACCUGUGCACCCUUCUGAAGCGGAGAGUUAUUAGGCAUUAGCCGAGCGCCUCCCUUCGGUUAUUAUAUCAAACUCUAACCACGUUUACUAGAAUGUAUUACCGUCUUGUUGUAACGACAAGUACAAUCCAAUAAAACUUUCAGCAACGGAUCUCUUGGCUCAGGCAUCGAUGAAGAACGCAGCGAAAUGCGAUAAGUAAUGUGAAUUGCAGAAUCCAGUGAAUCAUCGAAUCUUUGAACGCAACUUGCGCCCUCUGGUAUUCCGGAGGGCAUGCCUGUUUGAGUGUCGUGAACACCUCAACCCUCCAAUGUUUUUUGCAUUGAAGGCGUUGGUAGUGAGCGUUGCCGGUCUUUUGGAUCGGCUCGCUUUAAAAUCAUUAGCUGGAUCCAUUCUGACCUGGUUCUACUCGGCGUAAUAAGUUAUUAUCGUCGAGGACGCCUGGCCUUGUAGGCAGGGCGGCCACAGUAAGGGUGUUUGAACCGCUUCCAACACGUCUUGCUCUUGCAGCAAACACUUGAACCUCUGACCUCAAAUCAGGCAGGACUACCC